AGGCAGCCUCUAUGCGUGAUUUAAUCGCAUAUGAAGGUGUUAUUUUGCCCAUAAAUUAAUGUCUCUUGCUCUUCUGAUUUGCUGAGAAGAAUAGUAUUCUUCUUUGAAGCCGGUCUAGUAAGCCUAAGUACAUA
Molecule: small nucleolar RNA, 134 nt
Filed under: Amborella trichopoda
Lineage: Eukaryota; Viridiplantae; Streptophyta; Magnoliopsida; Amborellales; Amborellaceae
Description: snoRNA snoR77
Rfam family: Small nucleolar RNA snoR77
Source: Rfam by way of RNAcentral